This 252-nucleotide ribosomal RNA is filed under the name uncultured bacterium. RNAcentral's name for it is "partial 16S ribosomal RNA". It matches the Rfam family "Bacterial small subunit ribosomal RNA", at positions 524 to 775 of the family's 1533-position model. The record is from RNAcentral.
UACGUAGGAAGCGAGCGUUGUUCGGAGUUACUGGGCGUAAAGGGUGUGUAGGCGGUUCUUUAAGUUUGGUGUGAAAUCUCCCGGCUCAACCGGGAGGGUGCGCCGAAUACUGAGGGACUAGAGUGUGGGAGAGGAAAGUGGAAUUCCUGGUGUAGCGGUGAAAUGCGUAGAUAUCAGGAGGAACACCGGUGGUGUAGACGGCUUUCUGGACCAUAACUGACGCUGAGACACGAAAGCGUGGGUAGCAAACAG